This 67-nucleotide transfer RNA is filed under the name Quadrula quadrula (mapleleaf mussel). Its description in RNAcentral is "tRNA-Phe". The record is from RNAcentral. Lineage: Eukaryota; Metazoa; Mollusca; Bivalvia; Unionida; Unionidae.
GACAAGUAGUUUAAUUUACUUCAUAAAACAUAACACUGAAAAUGUUAAAAUGGCUGGCCCUUCUCCA